CCUACGGGUGGCAGCAGUGAGGAAUAUUGGUCAAUGGACGAGAGUCUGAACCAGCCACGUCGCGUGAAGGAUGACUGCCCUAUGGGUUGUAAACUUCUUUUAUAAAGGAAUAAAACGAGGCACGUGUGCCUUUUUGCAUGUACUUUAUGAAUACGAAUAGGCUAACUACGUGCCAGCAGCCGCGGUAAUACGGAGGAUCCGAGCGUUAUCCGGAUUUAUUGGGUUUAAAGGGAGCGUAGAUGGGUUGUUAAGUCAGUUGUGAAAGUUUGCGGCUCAACCGUAAAAUUGCAAUUGAUACUGGCAGGCUUGAGUGCAGUUGAGGUAGGCGGAAUUCGUGGUGUAGCGGUGAAAUGCGUAGAUAUUACGAAGAACCCCGAUGGCGAAGGCAGCUUACUAGACUGUGACUGACAUUGAUGCUCGAAAGUGUGGGGAGCAAACAGGAUUAGAUACCCGAGUAGUC
Molecule: ribosomal RNA, 460 nt
Filed under: uncultured bacterium
Lineage: Bacteria
Description: partial 16S ribosomal RNA
Rfam family: Bacterial small subunit ribosomal RNA
Source: RNAcentral